This is a long non-coding RNA of Cyprinus carpio carpio, 1392 nucleotides long. The record is from Ensembl. Lineage: Eukaryota; Metazoa; Chordata; Actinopteri; Cypriniformes; Cyprinidae.
AUGGUGGCGCCACUGCCGGUGAUGGCCGCAGGGUCAGCGCCACGAGGCAAGAUGGACGCCAGCCCAGCGCCACAGCACAGGGUGGUCACCAGCUCCACGCCACAAGGCCAGACGGUCGCCAGGCCAGCGCCAAUGCCCAAGAUGGCCGCUGAGACAUUGUUGGAUUACUUUUCCAUGUUGAACCAGAUCUUAGAGAUUCCCAGGGUGUUCACGUCAUGGCUGCUGAGCCAGCGCCAAUGCCCAAGAUGGCCACCAGCCCAGCACCACAGCACAAGAUGGCCGCCAGCCCAGAGCCAUUGCACAAGAUGGCCGCCAUCCCAGGCCCACUGCACGAGUGGGCCGCCAGCCCAGCGCCACAGCACGAGAUGGCCGAAUCCACACCGGUGUCGCCAGACAAGAGGGCCGACUCAACGCCUGAGUCUCUGGACAAGGUACUGCCGACUCGCAUACAGGGCGGAGGAGGAGACCGGCAUCGACCGUUCCUCAAGGGCCGGAGGCCGUUCCCGAGCAGGCCGCGGCCGUCCCAGAGGCCGUUCCCGAGCAGCCGGCCUGGAGGAGGUUCCCGAGCAGCCCGCUGCCGUCCCGGAGGCGGCGCCCGAGGCAGAGGCCGAUACGGUGCCCGAGGCGGUUCUUGAAGCCAAGGCGGUUCCUGAGGCGGUUGCUGAGGCCGUUCCCGAGGCGGUGCCCGAUGCUGUUCCGGAGGCCGAGGCGGUGCCCGAUGCCGUUCCGGAUGCCGAGGCGGUGCUCGAUGCCAAGGCGGUUCCUGAGGCCGUUCCUGAGGCAGUGCUCGAUCCGGAGGCCGAGGCGGUGCCCGAUGCGGUUCCGGAGGCCGAGGCGGUGCCCGAUGCGGUUCCAGAGGCCGAGAUGGUUCCCGAGGCCGAGGCUGUUCCCGAUGCGGUGCCCAAGGCCGAGGCAGUGCCCGAGGCGGGGUCCGAGGCCAUUCCUGAGGCGGUGCCCGAGGCGCUGUCCGAUGCGGUGCCCGAGAUGGUUCCCGAAGCCGAGGCACUUCAUGUCUCCACAGGCCGUCCAGAGCACCUUCACGUCUCCACAGGGGCCCCGGAAUGGCAGGUUCCGUCCUGGCCGCUCAAAUGGCGGGUUCCUCCCUGGCCGUCUGCACAACCUGAACUGACGGAUCCUCCGUGGCCACCUGAACUGCCUGGUCCCUUGUGGCCCCCUGAACUUUCGGGUCCACCCUGGGCCCCUAAACUGACUGAUCCACCUUGGCUACCGGUGGAGCCAUCGCUUCCUGUCCCUGUUCCCCUACAUGGGCCUGGCCCUCCGUCCCUCCCCCUGUUCUACCUCCACCAGUCCACCUCCCUCCUGGUCUUCUGGUUGUGGUGUUGUUGUUGUUGUUGUUGUUUUUGGGGUUUUUUUUCCACUUCCUGUCCCUGA